This 774-nucleotide transfer RNA is filed under the name uncultured Synechococcus sp. RNAcentral's name for it is "16S-23S ribosomal RNA intergenic spacer". The stretch from base 267 to 339 matches the Rfam family "tRNA". Lineage: Bacteria; Bacillati; Cyanobacteriota; Cyanophyceae; Synechococcales; Synechococcaceae. The record is from RNAcentral.
AGGGAGACAACACAAUGAUUUUGAUGCCUGAGUAUUUUUAUUCUUAGGCCGAAAUCCUGUCACCUUAGGUCGAUCGGUACCUCAGAUUUGAAAUCAAGAAUCAGCAGCAAUGUUGAUUGCUUGAUGGAGAUUUUCAGUUCCUAAACUUUGUCUAGGUCACACCCCAAAAGGGAUGAGACUCCUGGGCCAUUAGCUCAGGUGGUUAGAGCGCACCCCUGAUAAGGGUGAGGUCCCUGGUUCAAGUCCAGGAUGGCCCAUUCGGUGUUGGGGGUUUAGCUCAGUUGGUAGAGCGCCUGCUUUGCAAGCAGGAUGUCAGGAGUUCGAGUCUCCUAACCUCCACUGACCGAACUUUAUUCCCAUCUCCAAUUUAUUGGAGUUGAGCUCGAUUGGUGUGUGAUUUAGAUAUGUCCGCUGGAUGACCCCAGCUUCCUGUCAUUCCAAGUUUUAAGUUUGAAGCUUUGAAUUUGGUUGAUAAGAUGCUGGGCUCGGAUCAAAUAAUCAAGCAAUUGAUGAUUUGAUUUGAAGUUCUAGCAGAACCUUGACAACUGCAUAGGUGAAGUCUGGAAAAACAAAGCAUCUUACAGAUGCAUUGUUUUGAGUCUAAUCUUCUGAAAGGAAGUUUAGAUCCAGAACAAUGAAAAUUCUUUUGAGCAAGAGCCGAGACUCUUGAAUGUUCUUUGAUUCGUGUCGAGCGAAUCAGAGUUUGAUCUUGUUUUUAGCAAUAAAAACUUGAGAAUCUGCUUUCAACGGCGGUAAGCGUUCAAGAGGUUAAUU